This 71-nucleotide transfer RNA is filed under the name Ictidomys tridecemlineatus (thirteen-lined ground squirrel). RNAcentral describes it as "Spermophilus tridecemlineatus (thirteen-lined ground squirrel) tRNA". It matches the Rfam family "tRNA". Rfam says of the family: Transfer RNA (tRNA) molecules are approximately 80 nucleotides in length. Their secondary structure includes four short double-helical elements and three loops (D, anti-codon, and T loops). Lineage: Eukaryota; Metazoa; Chordata; Mammalia; Rodentia; Sciuridae. RNAcentral also lists the same sequence under 1 other name. The record is from Rfam by way of RNAcentral.
GUGAUUGUGGCUCAGUGGUAGAGUGCUUGCCUAGCAUGCAUAAAGACCUGGGUUCAAUCCUCAGCACCACA